RNAcentral lists this ribosomal RNA (476 nucleotides) under Escherichia coli. RNAcentral's name for it is "partial 23S ribosomal RNA". It matches the Rfam family "Bacterial large subunit ribosomal RNA", at positions 375 to 857 of the family's 2925-position model. Lineage: Bacteria; Pseudomonadati; Pseudomonadota; Gammaproteobacteria; Enterobacterales; Enterobacteriaceae. The record is from RNAcentral.
GUACACAAAAAUGCACAUAUUGUGAGCUCGAUGAGUAGGGCGGGACACGUGGUAUCCUGUCUGAAUAUGGGGGGACCAUCCUCCAAGGCUAAAUACUCCUGACUGACCGAUAGUGAACCAGUACCGUGAGGGAAAGGCGAAAAGAACCCCGGCGAGGGGAGUGAAAAAGAACCUGAAACCGUGUACGUACAAGCAGUGGGAGCCUCUUAAUGGGGUGACUGCGUACCUUUUGUAUAAUGGGUCAGCGACUUAUAUUCUGUAGCAAGGUUAACCGAAUAGGGGAGCCGAAGGGAAACCGAGUCUUAACUGGGCGUUAAGUUGCAGGGUAUAGACCCGAAACCCGGUGAUCUAGCCAUGGGCAGGUUGAAGGUUGGGUAACACUAACUGGAGGACCGAACCGACUAAUGUUGAAAAAUUAGCGGAUGACUUGUGGCUGGGGGUGAAAGGCCAAUCAAACCGGGAGAUAGCUGGUUCUC